GAUGAACGCUGGCGGCGUGCCUAAUACAUGCAAGUCGAGCGAACAGACGAGGAGCUUGCUCCUCUGACGUUAGCGGCGGACGGGUGAGUAACACGUGGAUAACCUACCUAUAAGACUGGGAUAACUUCGGGAAACCGGAGCUAAUACCGGAUAAUAUAUUUAACCGCAUGGUUCAAUAGUGAAAUACGGUUUUGCUGUCACUUAUAGAUGGAUCCGCGCCGCAUUAGCUAGUUGGUAAGGUAACGGCUUACCAAGGCAACGAUGCGUAGCCGACCUGAGAGGGUGAUCGGCCACACUGGAACUGAGACACGGUCCAGACUCCUACGGGAGGCAGCAGUAGGGAAUCUUCCGCAAUGGGCGAAAGCCUGACGGAGCAACGCCGCGUGAGUGAUGAAGGUCUUCGGAUCGUAAAACUCUGUUAUUAGGGAAGAACAAAUGUGUAAGUAACUAUGCACGUCUUGACGGUACCUAAUCAGAAAGCCACGGCUAACUACGUG
This 497-nucleotide ribosomal RNA is filed under the name uncultured bacterium. Its description in RNAcentral is "partial 16S ribosomal RNA". It matches the Rfam family "Bacterial small subunit ribosomal RNA", at positions 28 to 507 of the family's 1533-position model. The record is from RNAcentral.